AUGACGGUUGCCCGUAAAAAUGCUAGAUUAAAGGAGUCCCAGCUGCAUUUGAAUACGCUAUGAAUAAUCAUCGUAUUAUAAUUUAAGUCCAGCCACAGACAAGCCGGGCCCCGGACCUCCUCCACUCCAGAUGCCCGCAGAUGACAAGGAUAAUUAAGCAGACCGACUUCAGGCUUCCUGUCCCCAGCACUUUGAUCGGAGGACGAGAUGCCAGCUCGCAGUGGGUUCGUGAGUCCCCGGGUGCUGAAACUGCUUGUUUUGUCCGACUCUGCAAGCUUGCUCCCUCCCACUGAAAUCUUGGAGCUGCGUUAUGGCGAGUUGCAGGAAUCCCACGGAGGAAGAGCUGGAGAAAAGGUGAACUCAAAACUUCUCUUGCCAAAUCCACUCCUUGCUUGGGAGUCACUGCCAGCUCUUUGCUUUGCACUAUUUUAGUAGCCUAGAACUGGUCUAAAGUGGCCGGUUUGUUUUGCCCACAUUCUCUUCCUGUCUUCGGACUGUCCUUAUAACUCCUGACACCACAGUGAGAUCUUUGAAAUCGUGAAUCCGACAGGUCACCGCCCUUAGGAUAAGUCACAAGCUCCAGAGAAGGUUAUAUAAGACUGAAGGAGACCUUGCUUCAUAAGGAACUGGACAGGGAAACUGGUGAUGGCCACCGUCCACUAAGAGCAGGAAGAUGGUGGCCGGUACAGGGAUGGCUGAGAUGAGGGAGAAAUGAGGGGCUGUAAAAUCUGGUAAGGAAGUAGAGUCAGCGGGAAAUGAAGAUUGGACAGACUUGGUCAUAGGGUUUAUCACAGCAGUAGAAAAUAACUAAUCCACAACUGAACCAGGUGACAUGAGGCCGAGAGCACUGUGAGUAAGGCGGUAAAAUUCACACUGUAGAAAGUGACCAUGUGAAGCUAGAAACGAGGUAGUACUGCUCUUGGGGACAUCAUGGAAAGAAAGCCGGGCGCUGGCACUGCUAAUUGCCGAAAACUUACUUAUUCUGUGCCACGUUUUGAUAUGGAUUUAUUUCUCAGUCCUACAGAAAAUCCUGUGAGGAGGAUAUCUUCAUUCCCAUGUGAAGAAAUGUUCCAGAAGGCUAGAAGCUGUUCUGUGGUUCCGUUAAGAUGCAAAGAGUUUUUAAACUUUUUUUUGUUUAUUUGUUUCCUGGCUUUUUGAGACAGGGUUUCCCCGUGUAGCCCUGGCUAUCCUGGAACUUGCUCUGUAGGCCAGGCUGGCCUCAAACUCAGAGAUUCUUCUGCUUCUGUCCCCUGGGAUUAAAGGCAUGAGCCACCAUGCCCUGCCGUGAUUCAGACAUUCUCAAAUAUUUGGAGUUAUUAAAGGAAAUCGGUCCAUGAGAACCUAUUUGUAUGUGUUUGGAGCUGUCUAUGCUGCACAGCUGUGUGCUUGCAAAUGCAGCUGCAUCCUUAGUGUUAAUUUAAGGCAAGUGUGAGACAGAGGGGACCCACGUGUCCUCAGGGCACGGUGGUGGGGGCGAGCACUGUUAUCCUUAGAUGAUGCUGGCCCUUAUGAUAUACUUUUGUUAGAAUAAAGGCUAGGCAUUGUGAAUUCUUUUUUAAAAAUUAAUUUUAAUAAUUUUAAUUAAUUUCAUGAAUGUGAGUACACCGUCGCUGUCUUCACGCACACCAGGAGAGGGCAUCAGAUCCCAUUACAGAUGGUUGUGAGCCACCAUGUGGUUGCUGGGAUUUGAACUCAGGAGACCUCUAGAAGAGCAGUCAGCGCUCUUAACCGCUGAGCCAUCUCUCCAGCCCUGCAUUGUGAAUUCUUUAGGUCUUUAUUGUAAGUAUCCUCUCAUUUUGGAAGGAGUGAAUGGUCAGGAGUAGGCAGGUCACUCUGGUCUUUGAGUGUCAGCAAACAGACUCUUUCCUUUCAUCUAACAGCCUGGAGUGGGCUAUAAGUCACCGGCAUUGACCACUCUGAAAACACCUCAGCUAUAGGAAAUCAUGCAGCCAACACCCCUGGUUCAGCUCUAGGAGGCUUUACCUGAGUCAGGGCUGCUGCAGACGACCCUUAGAGAAACCUGAAGCUUUUCUCACUGCAGACAGCAGUGGGAACGCUUCUCAGCAAGAGGCUAGGGACUGGUGUAAACACAAUCCCCUCAGCCGAAUACUGUGCUCCACAACCAGAGUGGACAGCUCUGGUUCCGAGUUAGCCCACGGCACAAGGCCAAGUAACAGGCUCCCUUUCUUUGACCGCUUAUGAGUUUUCUGAGUAGGGAAGGCUGUGCCUGUCACGUGAAGAGAAGCUGCAGUGGUAUCCUGGAACAGAAGGGGGCAAUGAUGAAAGACACGGAGACAGGGCAGAAGAGUCUGUCAGGACCACAGAAGGCAACGGGUGGUGCGUGAGAUAUUGCAAGUCUCCAACACUGGAAGACUGAAGACCUGCAGCUCCUUCUCAGUCAGGUUGGCUGUUGCUCUCCCAGUAGAUGCUCCAAUGAGCAGCUCACAUUUCACUGACUCUUUAGUGCUGGGUGUUGACAGUCAGAACCCCAGAGCCAUAAGCCUCCCAUCGGAGUAUCUAGAGCUUUAAGUCCUUGGCUUUUUGAGGCCAGGAGCUGAAAGCCUCUAGUUCUUCUGUUCGCUCCAACUCUCUGUUUCCAUCAUCCUAAUCCACAAAGCUUCAGUAGUCCAAGGCCCAGGCCUGUCUGAAGAGCUGCCUCAGGCCUACUGUGCUUUCCAACCAAGUCGAGCACAAGGACUUCCUGGCAACAGCCCUCGCUGGCGCCAUUUUGCUGAAAAGGAAGACAAAUACAUGUUGGUGAAGCAUUUUCUCCCAGGCCACUGGGAGACAGCAUCAGGGCCACUGUGGUCUGCCGGGCCCCUGCCCAUGACAGGGCAUUGGGCUGGACACCUUGCCUAGAUGUACCUCAUCCAGCAGGAGUUUGGUUGUUCCGAUGGCUUUACCUUCACACCCAGCAGCCCUGAGUUAUUUCACCAGCAACAUGAGUGCACAGGACAUUGGAAUACUGAUUUGAUCCCAAAGGGUAGUAUUGAUUUUCCCACCCUUUGCAACUGGAAGACACAUCUGACUGCACUGCCACAAUGCUCACACCCCUAACCCUACACACACACACACAUAUAUACACACACACAGGUGGAAGCAUUUCUUCCCGGUCGGUGCCUUGGUUCAUUAAUCUUCUGAUGUGGCAUUCGGACUUCAGAUGUGACCACAGACUUCUGGUAUUGGUGUCCUGCCAUGGAGGAGGCAGGAUGAACGAUUGUGUUUGCAUUGGGUCCUGGGGGAAGUGCCUGGGGGUAGAGGCUUUAGGAGAGUAGCUAUUGACUCCUGGCUGGAAACCUUGGAUAAUUCCAAUCUUCCCAGCGCCUUGCUGUCUGCCCCUAAACUCGAGGUCGUUUCUAGGACCUUCUGUUUGUUGCUGUUUUCGUUUUGUUUUAUGUGUACGGGACUUUUUACCUACAUGUAAGUCCAUGCACCAUGUGCAUGCAGUGCUGGAGGAAGCCAGAAGAGGGCGUCAGGUCCUCUGAACCUGAAAUGACAGAUGGCUGUGAGCUGUGAUGUGGGGCUGGGAAUCACACUUCUGGAAGAGUAACCAGCACUCUUAACUCUCGAGCCCUUUGUUGCUGUUUUGUUUGUUUGUUUUGUUUUGUUUUUCUGUUUGUUUCUGAGCUCGAGGUUGUCUUGCUUCAUAAUCCUGAUGGACCUGGUGCUCAGCAGAGAUACCUAGCCUUACUGUGACUCCUGAGAGCUGAGGUUAAAGCCAUUUUCACCCGGGGCUGGGUCCUUCUUGUCACGUCACAGGUGCCUGCCAUCGUCUCUUGGAUCUUUAAAGUUGUCUGCCUUCUGCUCUGCGUUUAGAAGCAGACAGCAUGGCUAGGUGGUACUUGGCUUUGCAAAGACCCAGGGUAAGACUUCUGCUGUGCUAAACAAAAUAGCAGCCCAGCUUUAGUUAGGUUGUUUUUUUUUUUUUUUUUUUUUUUUUUUUUUAAGAUGAGCAUGAAAAAGGAUAAGCACCCUGAUAAGAUGUUGACUUUGCUUUUCUAAUUAAGUCUAGGGGAGAAUCCUUGCUGAAAAGAAGCCAACAGAAUGUAUCUUCGGAAUUAAUUAUGGUAGCUGAAUCAGCUUUCGGUGAGCAAUCUCUCUCCCCUUGUGUUUCUCUGCCUCGGAUGAUUUUUAAUGAAUUAUUCAUUCUAUCAACAAACUCUCUGCUUUGAGACACCGUGCUAAAUGCUGAGUGCUUGGAAAAGAUAAUGAUGAUGGCCAACGUGAAGCACCAGGACCCGGGAUCAAUGCUCUCCGUGCGGAAACUGUGUGAAGAAGAUGCCUUCGUGCUAGGAGCAGGUUGAGCACGGUGAGGUCGAUGCUUACACAAAUGAUGCCUCUCACUCAGACUCCACAUACUCUGGAGCUGGCGCCAUGAUUUGCAAAUGUGGUGCUUGGUGAUAUACACGAAGGUGUCUUUUGGAAGUGAAACGCAUCUUGGCAACAUCCUGCAACGGAUAGCGAGACAGAAGCACACAAGCCUGCGUGCCACUUCAGCUUGAGUCCCGUAAACGCCUCACUCACAACUGAACUCUAGAGACCCUUUCUUUGAUGAUGACCCCUGACCCCUGCACGAGGUUCACAGUGGCCACUGUGGUUGCUCAGGACCCCCGCUUAACAAUGGCCAUCUGCCAUUAAAGAAAGAGGUAAAUGCUAGUGAGUCAUAGUGGCUGUGAAGUAGUUCUUGGAGUCCCUGAACUACCAUCUAGCCAGAGCUCUCUACCUCAGCACCUCGGCCAUUUUGAACCAGAUCCUUCCUUGUUGUUUAGCGGCACUCUUGACUUUGAGAAGCUAUACACCAGGAGCACUGCCUGUUUGCUAAACGCCCCUGGGGAGCACUCCCUCCACGCCUAAGUGAGAGGGCUUCCUCCUGGAAAUCCCCUGGUGAGGACUGUAGGAGCAGGCUAUAUCACCCGUUCCCUCUCACCCCUGUGCGAGCAUGGAUCAUUGGCCACUAUUAUUUCUGACAAGGUGUCUGCCUGCACCUCAGUUAAGGUUAAAGGAAACACGGCUGUGAAUUCUAUCAGAGCUGCCGCCAGCCCCACCCCCACCCUCAGGCAGAAGAUCAGGUUGAAGGGAUGGGAUGAGCUGUUCAGGUUGCUCAAAGUCACAGCAAGGUGGAUCCACCCUGUCACCCCUGACCAAAGACACAGAGUGUCCUCCUCAUGCAGAGGUCUCUCUCUAGCAGGUCAGUGGAGAGGCUGCGGUUACAGAGACCUCACUAGUGUUCCGUCCUGUCCCUUUAGCUACUGGAGACGUUGCUGGGUGUACUGGCUGCCUUUGUGUGUCAACCUGACACCAGCUGGAGCUAUCACAGACAGGAACCUCCCUUGAGGAAAUGCCUCCAUGAGAUCCAGCUGUGAGGCAUUUUCUCAAUUAGUGAGCAAGUGGGGAGGGCCCAUUGUGGGUGGUGCCAUCUCUGGGCUGGUGGCCUCGGGUUCUAUAAGAGAGCAAGCUGAGCAAGCCGGGGGAAGCAAGCCAGUAAGUAACAUCCCUCCAUGGCCUCUGCCUCAGCUCCUGCUUCCUGCCCUGCUUGAGUUCCAGUCCUGACUUCCUUUGGUGAUGAACAGCACUGUGGAAGUGUGAGCUGAAUAAACCCUUUCCUCCCCAA
Molecule: non-coding RNA, 5611 nt
Organism: Rattus norvegicus (Norway rat)
Lineage: Eukaryota; Metazoa; Chordata; Mammalia; Rodentia; Muridae
Source: RefSeq, a predicted model, not a curated record